GUAGUUGGAUUUCUGUUAAUAAUUUAUAUGAAAUAUUUUGAAAAAUAUUUAUAUAAUAUUAACAUAAUUCAUAUUACUGAUUAAUUUGAGUAUAUGAAAUUUUACUUUGAGAAAAUUAGAGUGCUUAAAGCAGGCAUAUGCCUUGAAUACUCCAGCAUGGAAUAAUAUUAAAGAUUUUUAUCUUUCUUAUUGGUUCUAAGAUAAGAAUAAUGAUUAAUAGGGACAGUUGGGGGCAUUUGUAUUUAACAGUCAGAGGUGAAAUUCUUAGAUUUGUUAAAGACAAACUAAUGCGAAAGCAUUUGCCAAGGAUGUUUUCAUUAAUCAAGAACGAAAGUUAGGGGAUCGAAGACGAUCAGAUACCGUCGUAGUCUUAACCAUAAACUAUGCCAACUAGAGAUUGGAGGUUGUUCCUUACUCCUUCAGCACCUUAA
Molecule: ribosomal RNA, 431 nt
Filed under: Cryptosporidium sp. horse genotype
Lineage: Eukaryota; Apicomplexa; Conoidasida; Eucoccidiorida; Cryptosporidiidae
Description: SSU rRNA
Rfam family: Eukaryotic small subunit ribosomal RNA
Source: RNAcentral